GGUCAUGAGAUUCAGCGACAAGCUCCGGCUCGCUGGGCGGCAACCCUCGGUGCACAUCAAGUGCCGAACACGGUGGGGUGCUCCGGAUGACGACCAGGCGGUGCUCGACCCCGAGCCCCGCAAGCGUGGGGC
Molecule: non-coding RNA, 132 nt
Filed under: Nakamurella panacisegetis
Lineage: Bacteria; Bacillati; Actinomycetota; Actinomycetes; Nakamurellales; Nakamurellaceae
Description: SAM-IV sequence
Rfam family: SAM (S-adenosyl methionine) riboswitch aptamer
About the family: SAM-IV is a mRNA element that regulates gene expression via direct sensing of S-adenosylmethionine (SAM or AdoMet). SAM-IV riboswitches share conserved nucleotide positions with the previously described SAM-I riboswitches sequence analysis and molecular recognition experiments suggest that SAM-I and SAM-IV riboswitches share similar ligand binding sites, but have different scaffolds.
Source: Rfam by way of RNAcentral